UUGCAUCAGACGUGCAUUGCCAUGUGAAAUAGGAAUUUGUCAAUAAUUGUCAUCUUUUGAAAUAUAUACAUAAACAUAAAAGCCAUAAAGCCAUAUAGACUACAUAAAUGAUGAUAUAAGCCUACAGGUGUAGACCAUAGUUUAAAUAAAAAGACGUUUGCUUUGAAGUCACUCCGGGAACGUUUUCUUAUGUCCAGCUAAACUCAGUGAAAGUGAUUAAAUACUCACAUUUUGAACGGAUUUUACAUUCACGAGUAAAGAUUUGUUUAAUAACCUAUAUGUAUUUAGUUAUGUAUGUUAUUUUCCGCGGAUCGGCACAUAGUUGUUAUUAAGUUGUUAAAAAAUAGAUAUCGCCAGGGUGGAUUUAAAUUUGUUGUAAGGUCACAUGUCUUGAAAUUAAUAGAUAUAACUUUAACAUUUUAUACCAAUUAUAACGUGAAUAAAAUGUGUCCGAUGAGGGAAAAAAAACGAGAUUUAAAUGCUACGUACUCCACGCGCCCCCUGGAGGACAACCACUUUUUCCUCACGUACAGAUAUUAGCUAGCAACACUUGGAGCUAAAUGGAUUAUAGCUCGUGGAGAGUGCACUCUUAUUUGAGCUGACUUCAUCUCUCCUCGUGGUGUUGUGGCAUCAUGUCCAAGCAUGUUGUGCUCUCUGCUGGAUGUAAAGCAUGGAGGUCGCUCUCGUGCCCACGGUCAGAACUCUGGCUGGAUCUCACACUGGGAUGCGGUCAGACUUUUCGGUGGCGUGAGACUGCAGAUGGACACUGGACUGGUGUAAUGCGGGGGAGAGUGUGGACACUGACCCAAACAGAGAACAUGUUAUGGUACUAUGUGUAUGGUCAUCAGAUGAAUCCAGGAGCAGAAAGCGGACAGAAGUGUAAGGUCAAGGGGGAGAGAAGGUCAGGAGAAAUGAUGGAUAUAAAAGAGGAAGAGGAGAAAACGUGUACAGUGAUGUCAGAUCUUGACCACAAAGAUGAGGAACUUCUAAGGGACUAUUUCCAAUUGGAUGUUAAAUUAGAGGACCUCUACAGACACUGGAGCGCAGUGGACCUGCACUUUAAACAAAUAGCUAAUGUCUUUACAGGAGUGCGUAUGUUGCGUCAGGACCCCGGCGAGUGUCUUUUCUCAUUUAUUUGCAGCUCUAAUAACCACAUCUCACGGAUUCAGGGGAUGAUUGACAGACUGUGUCAGACACUCGGGACACCCCUCUGCACGCUGGAUGAUGUGGCCUACCAUGAUUUUCCCCCUCUGCCAGUUCUUUCAGAUGCUAGCGUGGAGAUGCGUCUGCGUGAUUUAGGUUUUGGCUACCGUGCACGCUUCCUGCAACAGAGCGCUCAACUCAUCGUGAACUCUCACGGCCCGGACUGGCUCAAGUCGCUCCGCAGCGUUGCCUACCUGCAGGCCAGAGAUGCGCUCCGGGCCCUUCCUGGAGUAGGUCUCAAAGUGGCCGACUGUGUGUGUCUGAUGUCACUUGACAAGGCUGAGGCUGUUCCUGUGGACACACACGUGUGGCAGAUCUCCAAACGUGACUACAACUGCGCCGCCGGUAGCAGCCAAAAGACCCUGACCGAUAAAGUCUACAAAGACAUUGGUGAUUUCUUUAGAAACCUCUGGGGUUCUUAUGCUGGCUGGGCUCACUCGGUACUUUUUUGUGCUGAUCUUAAAAGAUUUCAGAAGCUGAAGGAAGACAUUCCUGUCCUGAAGGAUGAGAAGGAGCCAAAAAAGAUCAAAGAAAAAAGAGAUGAUAGAGAUGAAGAAAAACAGAAAAAGAGGAAAAACAGCAAAAAGCGUCAGAGGACAUGACUUAUGAUACUGCAGAUCAUCUGAUCCAUUCACACUUUAAAGGGAUAGUUCACUCCAAAAUGAAAACUGUCAUCAUUUACUCACCCUCAUGUAAUUUCAUAUCUGUAUAAAUUACUUUGUUCUGUUGAACGCAAAGAAAGAUAUUUGGAAGAGUGUUAGCAAUUUUCAGUUCUGGGACAUCAUUGAAUACCAUAGUAGGAAAAAUUAAAAUGGUUGUGAAAGGUGCCCCAGAACUGUUUGUUUUCCUUAAUUCUUCAAAAUAAAUGUAUACAGAUUUGACCGUAAUUGAUGACAGAAUUUUCAUUUUUUUACGACCUUUAAAGUAGUUCACUUCAAAAUGUGACCCCAUUGACUUUCCAUAGUAAUUUUUAUUCCUACUGUGGAAAGUCAAUGGGGGCAAAUUAUGAAUUUACUCAUUAAAUAAGUGUACUCAUUUAAUACAACGUGAUUAUUAGUGUAGUGAAUGAAUUUGUUGCAUUUGUGUGGAUUACAAACUGAUUCAUUUUAUUUGUGAUUUUAAAGCAAAGGAAAACGUGUUUGUGUGUAUGCACAGCUGUAUGCUUUCAGACGUGCUGCAUAAAUCUGCAUUUCAACACACUUAAGAGUUUGUUGUUCUAUCAGGCUUUGUGAACCAGUCAGUAUAAAACUCGUUAUGAAGUUAAGAGUUUGAAAAAUCUACAAUUCACCUCCUUCAGGUGGUGCAACCAUCCUGCACACAUUUCAUUUUGUCAUCAACUAACCCAGGGGUGUGAAACUUCUGAAGAGCCACAGAAGCCAAAUUUGUAACCCCAACUGAACACUCAAGAACAAGCUAAUAUGCAUUGCCUGAAAAUUACAGGCAAUUAGUUUGAGUGAAAACUUUUAUUGACUAACCCUUCAUAUCCAUCUAUACUGUAUUCCCUGCAGAAGUACAGUGAGGGACAACUAGGUGGCCUUAUAGUUGAAGUCAUUGAGUCUGGUUUUAAAGACUGUUCACCGCAGUCCAUUAUAAAGGCCUUAUCCUUUGAACCCUAAACAUUCUCAGAUCCAAAUCUUACGGAGAUUGGACAAAAUAAUGUUUUAACACACCUAGCCAGCAACUGACACCUUUGUGGUGUAGGCCACUUCAAUUAAAUCUGUGUCUGCUGCCAUGUUUUUAAAAAAAUUAUCAUCUACACUCUAAAAAAAAAAAGGUUCCUUUAGGUUCUAUAUAGAACCCUGGGGUUCUGUACUUGGCAAAUAGAACCUUUUACAAAAAAAAAGGUUCUAUGUAGAACCCUUGGAGGGCAAAGAACCUUUUUAAUAAAAUGGUUCUAUAAUUCAUGUUUUGUGACUGAAGUGUAAACUAAAGAUAACACAAUAAUUAUAGACCUACACAACACAUUUUGUGUCAAAAAGGAGAGUGACUGCUGUGGUCAAAAACAAGAGUCAACGAAAUAUUAAUAUUGUAUUAUAAUAUUAAUAUAAAGUGUACUGUUUAUUUCCUGUAAACUUUUUUAUGCAAGCAUAAUACAUUUUCUAAUACAUUAUUGUUUGCCUUUUUGGUAAAUCAUUUUGUAUAUCCAGGUGUUUUCUUUAUUUUGUACCAUAUCAUAUUGUCAAUGUUUAAUUUAAUCCGAAGGGGGCAUUAAAAACAAAUAAUCGCAAAAAUGCCCUCUGGUGGCGUAUUAUGUGUUGCACCAUCCUUGAAUUCCUAUUGGUGGAUUGGCGAAGAUGAACCUCGAGACAGUGACAGUUUAUUUUUAAAACUGAGGAGUCCGCCAUUUCUGCCCGUUCAUACCCUCGGGUAAGUAAAGUUUUUACAUUUUUGAAACUAUAUUACCGAAAUAUUUAGUAUAAUAAGUUGAUAUUUAUAUUUGUUAGAGUAGCCCUAGUGUUAAAUAGUUAUACUAAAUAUAAUAUUUACCUCAGUUAAAAAUACUGCUGGUAACGUUAGCACUGACGGGCUUCGUCAGCCGUCGGGUCAGAAAGUGCUGUUAAACUGAUUUUGCUCCUGUUUUUAAUGAAUUAAGUUACAUUUUCCCUUUAUUUACUUGUCAUUGUUAAUUAAAUUGGCAAUAUAAGACAGCUGUGUUAUAAGGCGACGAGAUAGACAGAAGCGUAAUUUCAAUGAAGCGCGUGGUCGCUGUUCGUUAACGGUAAGAUAACGAUAAAAGCAAACCGGGUGGAAGACGGAGGGAUAUGAUAUGUGAACGUUUGUCACAGUUUUAUACAUACUCCGUGAGUAUUUUUUCACAGGCCUAUGUUAACAGGUGUAUAAGUUCUUAAGUUUGGGCCGCGGCCCGCACGGUCCAUUUUCGUGCUGUCAGGCUCCUCCAACCCUGAUCAAACUUAACUGCCUGCCUGUUACUCUUCAGUAAUCCUGAAGAUUUUGAUUAGCUUGUUCAGGAGUGUUUUAUUAGGGUUGGAGCUAAACUCUGAAGGAAAGUGGACACUGCUGGCCACAGCUGAGAACUUCCCGCCGGUCUGCAUUAAAGCUGUACGAUUGCAGUGCUCUGCAGCGUUCGUAUCCGCACCGAGUCUGCGUAUAUGUUGGUUACUCAGAAAUGUCAAUUUUUUAAAUGAAAUUUCACAAAUGAAUUGCAAAUGGAAUAGAAAAUAUGAUCCAGAUGUCUACUCUAUUUCUAAUCAAGUUAUUUUAUCAUGUGGGAUUCAACGCCUGGAGUCAUUUUGAUUACCACGCACACUAUUUUUCUAAUUGAACAUUUUGUUUCGGAAAAUACAUCACUAUAGUCAAUUGCAGCCUCCAAUUCAUGCUGACUUUUAAGUAACUUGUUUGUCUGAUAGUGUGUAAUUUGGAUAUAUGCACCUGAAGUAAACAAUUUUUUUGUGUUUAAGAUGCUGCAUGAAAUGACAAUGAGGUUUGGAACAGACUUGGCGAAGAACAUGGAAACAUCUCUAAAUGAAAUGGCCCCAAACAUCAUCAGGAGUGCAAAAGAAGGAAGUCAAAGGAAACUCUAUGCCAAUCUCAUUGGACCAGCAGAGGAAACCACAGAAGGUCUUGUUAGGAGUGCUGCACUCAUUUUAUUGCCAUCAUUAUUUAAAGAAAACGCCAGCUUCCUCUACAGUGUAAAUAUUGAACCCAAAGGUCCUACACCAACCAUAGUGUUUAACGGCUCUCCUGAUCCCCUCAAAGCUGAAAGUGUCAGCAUUAUAAUGGACAACGUGAACAUCAUAAGAGAGGCAGACAUUGACAUGACACAGGCUGUGGAAUGCCUGUUUGCGGUCUAUUUUCUUUUCAAUGUUCAAUACCCAGUUGCCAUUAAGAACACAAUGACUUUUAUUCAAAAAUAUUUGCUUAAACUUAAGUCUCCUCACGACACAAGAACACCAAUACCUGUACUAAAAAUGUACUGUACAAUCAACUUGUGUAAAUUGUAGUGCUAUUUAAUAUGUUUUAAUUGUUCAUGAAAUGUUUUUAUCUGCAUUGUGAUUCUUUUCCUCAUUUCAGAGAUGCAUAAAGUUAAGUACUGUACUUAAACAAGCUUAUGUAUGUUUAUAAAAAAAGUGAAUAAUUUAAACAAAAUGGUUGAAUGCAAUGUAAUUAAAGUGUAAAGUUUAGCUGUUUAAUACAGAGAUGCAAUUUUAAAAUAUGUGUUUGUUUAUGUACAUGCAGUGCA
RNA transcript from Triplophysa rosa, 5404 nucleotides. It is a transcript of the gene named 8-oxoguanine DNA glycosylase, with no coding region annotated. The transcript has 10 exons. Lineage: Eukaryota; Metazoa; Chordata; Actinopteri; Cypriniformes; Nemacheilidae. The record is from RefSeq and is a predicted model, not a curated record.